AUAGCCCCAGCGGCAUUCCGCCUUCUAAGCGGCAGGUCGCUGGUUCGAGCCCAGCCGCGGUCGCCA
RNAcentral lists this transfer RNA (66 nucleotides) under Ancylobacter tetraedralis. Its description in RNAcentral is "tRNA-OTHER". Lineage: Bacteria; Pseudomonadati; Pseudomonadota; Alphaproteobacteria; Hyphomicrobiales; Xanthobacteraceae. The record is from RNAcentral.